GUGCUUGCUUCAGCAGCACAUAUACUAAAAUUGGACGCAUACAGAGAUUAGCCUGGCCUGUGUGCAAGAAUGACAUGAAGGUUCAUGAAUCAAAAACUCAAAUG
Heterocephalus glaber (naked mole-rat) is the source of this 104-nucleotide small nuclear RNA. The record is from Ensembl. NCBI's taxonomy places the organism in Eukaryota, Metazoa, Chordata, Mammalia, Rodentia, Bathyergidae.